This 389-nucleotide ribosomal RNA is filed under the name Norrisiella sp. Its description in RNAcentral is "partial small subunit ribosomal RNA". It matches the Rfam family "Eukaryotic small subunit ribosomal RNA", at positions 587 to 975 of the family's 1831-position model. Lineage: Eukaryota; Cercozoa; Chlorarachniophyceae. The record is from RNAcentral.
AGCUCCAAUAGCGUAUAUUAAUGUUGUUGCAGUUAAAAAGCUCGUAGUUGGAUAUCUGGCUUUGCGCGGACGGCCCGCCUUCGGGUUGAGUGCUGAAUGCGCUAGCCUAUCUUUCGGUUUGUGGCUCUUCCCUUUACUGUGGCGGGGUUCACGAUCCGGAUCAUUUACUUUGAAGAAAUUAGAGUGUUCAAAGCAGGCUUACGCCGUGAAUAUUGCAGCAUGGAAUAAUAACAUAGGACUAUCGUUUUAUCCUAUUUGUUGGUUCUGGGAUCGUAGUAAUGAUUGAUAGGGACAGUUGGGGGUGCUGCUAUUCCGCGGCCAGAGGUGAAAUUCUCAGAUUCCCGGAAGAGCAACUUAUGCGAAAGCAUUCACCAAGGAUGUCUUCUUUA